AAUUAACACUAUUGCGUGGUUCGUAUCGCGUGACAUUACCUAUUAUAAAUGUCCUUUUUUUCUCUCGUUUUCUCACGCAGGAACAUUUUAUAUUCAACUAUAUGGUAUACAAUUUUGCCGCUAUAUAUUGACCGCAGGGAGCUGAUACCGAAGAGAUCGUUAAGAAGGAAGGUGUAUCCAAAAUUGCACAUGUAUGGGACUUGUGAGUUAUGCGAAGCAAUUGAUACUAUUAAGGUUCAUUGGUCAUAUGAAGUUUGCACACGUGAAGCUUGACAUCCUAAAGAUCACAAUGCAUUCUGAAAACGAUACCGUGCAGGUUCGUUGGCGUAUACGUGGUGUCACAGGCUGGAAGGUAUUUUCUAUGUUUUGGAAGUAAAAUUUGGAAAAUACAACAUGUCAUAAAAUAAGCGCUAACCAGGAAAUAUGGUACGACGGCUUUUUUAUGUUAAUGCUGAAUGGAAAAGUUUAUAAGCAUAUUACGGACAAGAUGAUGCCUAAUCAGGAUACAGCCACGAAAAAGAAAGAUAUGCGCAUGGCAGGGAAAUUAGCGCUAUUCACAGGCUUUGUAAGCAUAUUUAGUAACAACGAGGAUUCUUUGAAUUGAGCUCUGUCUUAAAAUCGUAUCAAUUGAAGUGAAUCCACUGCUGAGUGCUGAAAUUAUACGAUUUUAUCCGUCACAACGAAUAGACCAAGAAGAAUGCUUUUUUCAGUCGAUGGUUUCGAAUGUUGCUGACGUAUCUAUUUCGUUGCAAAUGCAUCAUUAUGAAAUGAUGAUUGGUAGUAAAUGAGAGAUAUGUGAAUUAAAAAGAUGUGUACAUUAACUAAACAGUAUCUUUGUAUGAUUACAAACUAUCUUCAUCUAAUUUUUUAGUGAAAAUGUCCGAAUAAUUUGCGUUAGUAUUUCUGUGUAAAAAAAUAUGACGAUUAUA
Temnothorax curvispinosus is the source of this 929-nucleotide long non-coding RNA. RefSeq lists it as uncharacterized. The transcript is spliced from 3 exons. Lineage: Eukaryota; Metazoa; Arthropoda; Insecta; Hymenoptera; Formicidae. The record is from RefSeq and is a predicted model, not a curated record.